UGGAUAUUUAUAAUGCCAUACUAUCAGUAACUGCAGAGAAUGGUCAAUAUGCAAGCGUUUCUCAUAUUAUGAACAUUUCGUCCGUAUUAGAAGCUGUUGAACAUGACUUGACAUCGAGUUCCUUCUUGGACGAUGUAUAUAUUGAAGAAAGAGAAAACAUAGAGUUGCGAAUAAAAACGAAUGCCUGGAAGAUGGGUUCCAAUAUCAGACUCGGUGGGAACAAGCCAACUCAAUUAUUUUCAAAAGGUCAUGUAGGAAAUGCUGAUUUUUUUGAAAACAUCUUGAUUAAUGGUUCUC
Molecule: long non-coding RNA, 297 nt
Organism: Saccostrea echinata
Lineage: Eukaryota; Metazoa; Mollusca; Bivalvia; Ostreida; Ostreidae
Exons: 3
Source: RefSeq, a predicted model, not a curated record